This is an RNA transcript of Mastomys coucha (southern multimammate mouse), 1140 nucleotides long. It is a transcript of the gene named ubiquitin-conjugating enzyme E2 R2 pseudogene, with no coding region annotated. The transcript has a single exon. NCBI's taxonomy places the organism in Eukaryota, Metazoa, Chordata, Mammalia, Rodentia, Muridae. The record is from RefSeq and is a predicted model, not a curated record.
AUGGCCCAGCAGCAGAUGAACAGCUCGCAAAAAGCCCUGAUGCUUGAGCUGAAAUCCCUGCAGGAGGAACCGGUGGAGGGCUUCCGGAUCACUCUGGUGGAUGAGUCCGACCUCUACAACUGGGAGGUGGCCAUCUUCGGACCCCCUAACACCCUCUACGAAGGCGGCUACUUCAAGGCACAUAUUAAAUUUCCUAUUGACUACCCGUAUUCACCACCUACUUUCAGAUUCUUGACCAAAAUGUGACACCCCAACAUUUAUGAGAAUGGAGAUGUAUGCAUUUCAAUUCUUCAUCCGCCUGUAGAUGACCCACAGAGUGGAGAACUGCCCUCUGAGAGGUGGAAUCCUACUCAGAACGUUAGGACUAUCCUGUUAAGUGUAAUCUCACUGCUUAAUGAGCCCAAUACCUUUUCUCCAGCCAAUGUGGAUGCUUCAGUCAUGUUCAGGAAAUGGAGGGACAGCAAAGGAAAAGAUAAGGAAUAUGCUGAAAUCAUUAGGAAACAGGUCUCAGCCACUAAAGCUGAAGCAGAAAGGGAUGGAGUGAAGGUCCCCACAACCCUGGCAGAGUACUGCAUCAAAACUAACGUGCCUUCCAAUGACAACAGCUCAGAUUUGCUUUAUGACGACUUGUAUGACGACGACAUUGAUGAUGAAGAUGAUGAGGAAGAAGAUGCCGACUGUUAUGAUGAUGAUGAUUUUGGAAAUGAGGAGUCAUGACAUGUUCCUUCAGUGCCCCUGUACUGCCCUGACAUCUCAGGCCAAAGGGAGGGGAGCAAGUGGGGAUCUACAGUGGCCACUCAGCAAAAACUUACUCCUGGGGUGGGGAAGCAGCCAGCCCCUGCUGCCUCUUGCGGAUGAUCUCAGUUUGCUCCUUUAUGGACCUUUACUGGAGAGAGAGUUCCUCCACAGAUUGUCUCAAGUCUUGCAUUCUUUCCCUGCCAUCACUGUAUUGAUUCUUUUUUAAAAACAGCCACCACCCCUCAAGCUCCCACCUCACCUCAUCUCUGCAGAAUGUUCACAGCAAAACACCUUUGUCUGUUUUUAGAUUCUUGGAGAAUUAGUCUAUUCGAGUCAUUGUGUUUAAAGCUGGGAGCCCACUGGGAGUCCACAAGUGCUGCAUAUAUUGGGUAGCAAAAGAAA